This is a small nucleolar RNA of Thalassophryne amazonica, 82 nucleotides long. RefSeq annotates it as small nucleolar RNA SNORD11B. The record is from RefSeq and is a predicted model, not a curated record. The transcript has a single exon. Lineage: Eukaryota; Metazoa; Chordata; Actinopteri; Batrachoidiformes; Batrachoididae.
GCCAAGCGAUGAUGAUGAUGACGAUAUGUCGCUACCUGAAAAUCCCUGAUGGUUUUAAGUCACUACCUCAUCUGAGCUUGCA